GACGAACCGAGCGAACGUUAUUCGGAAUCACUGGGCUUAAAGGGCGCGUAGGCGGGCGACCAAGUCAGGGGUGAAAUCCCACGGCUCAACCGUGGAAGUGCCUCUGAUACUGGCCGUCUCGAGGGAGGUAGGGGCGUGCGGAACUUCCGGUGGAGCGGUGAAAUGCGUAGAUAUCGGAAGGAACACCGGUGGCGAAAGCGGCGCGCUGGACCUCUUCUGACGCUGAGGCGCGAAAGCCAGGGGAGCGAACGGG
RNAcentral lists this ribosomal RNA (253 nucleotides) under uncultured bacterium. Its description in RNAcentral is "partial 16S ribosomal RNA". It matches the Rfam family "Bacterial small subunit ribosomal RNA", at positions 524 to 776 of the family's 1533-position model. The record is from RNAcentral.